UGAAUACGAGACGCUAAGGCGUCGAAGUAGUGUAUGUCAUACUUCCAAGAAAAGCUUGCACUGUCAUAGAUAAAAAACGCCUGUACCAUAACCGACACAGGUGGGUAGGUAGAGUAUACUAAGGGGCGCGAGAUAACUCUCUCUAAGGAACUCGGCAAAAUAACUCCGUAACUUCGGGAGAAGGAGUGCCUUAUUCGUAAGGUUGCAAUAACAAGAUCCAAGCAACUGUUUAUCAAAAACACAGGUCUCCGCUAAGUCGUAAGACGAUGUAUGGGGGCUGACGCCUGCCCAGUGCCAGAAGGUUAAAGAAGUUGGUUAGCAAUUGCGAAGCUGAUAACUGAAGCCCUGGUGAACGGCGGCCGUAACAAUAACGGUCCUAAGGUAGCGAAAUUCCUUGUCGGGUAAGUUCCGACCCGCACGAAAGGCGUAAUGAUUUGGAUACUGUCUCGGAGAGGGGCUCGGUGAAAUAGACUUGUCUGUGAAGAUGCGGACUACCUGCACCAGGACAGAAAGACCCUAUGAAGCUUUACUGUAACUUGAAAUUGAAAUUGGACUUUAUUCGCGCAGUAUAGGUGGGAGGCGUUGAUUAUAAUCUUGUGGGAUUAUUGGAGCCAUCAGUGAGAUACCACUCUUGUAAUGUUAGAUUUCUAACUUUGAAUCAUUAUCUGGUCAAAGAACAGUUUCAGGCGGGCAGUUUGACUGGGGCGGUCGCCUCCUAAACGGUAACGGAGGCGUACAAAGGUUUCCUCUGAACGGUUAGAAAUCGUAUCUAGAGUGUAAAGGCAUAAGGAAGCUUGACUGUGAGACCUACAAGUCGAGCAGGGACGAAAGUCGGUCUUAGUGAUCUGACGGUACUGAGUGGAAAGGCCGUCACUCAACGGAUAAAAGUUACUCUAGGAUAACAGGCUGAUCUCCCCCAAGAGUUCACAUCGACGGGGAGGUUUGGCACCUCGAUGUCGGCUCAUCGCAUCCUGGGGCGGUAGUACGUCCCAAGGGUUGGGCUGUUCGCCCAUGAAAGCGGUACGCGAGCUGGGUUCAGAACGUCGUGAGACAGUUCGGUCCAUAUCCGGUGUAGGCGUUAGAAUAUUGAGAGGAGCCUUCUUUAGUACGAGAGGACCGAGAAGGACAUACCUCUGGUGUACCAGUUAUCGUGCCAACGGUAAACGCUGGGUAGCUAUGUAUGGAGUGGAUAACCGCUGAAAGCAUCUAAGUGGGAAGCCCACCUCAAGAUAAGUAUUCUCACC
This 1244-nucleotide ribosomal RNA is filed under the name metagenome. RNAcentral describes it as "bacterial LSU rRNA". It matches the Rfam family "Bacterial large subunit ribosomal RNA", at positions 1564 to 2818 of the family's 2925-position model. The record is from RNAcentral.